This 548-nucleotide ribosomal RNA is filed under the name uncultured Glomeromycotina. RNAcentral describes it as "SSU rRNA". It matches the Rfam family "Eukaryotic small subunit ribosomal RNA", at positions 548 to 1097 of the family's 1831-position model. The record is from RNAcentral. Lineage: Eukaryota; Fungi; Glomeromycota.
UUGGAGGGCAAGUCUGGUGCCAGCAGCCGCGGUAAUUCCAGCUCCAAUAGCGUAUAUUAAAGUUGUUGCAGUUAAAAAGCUCGUAGUUGAAUUUCGGGGUCAGUAGGCUGGUCGUGCCACAGGUAUGUACUGGUCUCACUGAUUCCUCCCUCCUGAUGAACCGUAAUGCCAUUAAUUUGGUGUUGCGGGGAAUCUGGACUGUUACUUUGAAAAAAUUAGAGUGUUUAAAGCAGGCUAACGCUUGAAUACAUUAGCAUGGAAUAAUGAAAUAGGACGAUCGAUCCUAUUUUGUUGGUUUCUAGGAUUGACGUAAUGAUUAAUAGGGAUAGUUGGGGGCAUUAGUAUUCAAUUGUCAGAGGUGAAAUUCUUGGAUUUAUUGAAGACUAACUACUGCGAAAGCAUUUGCCAAGGAUGUUUUCAUUAAUCAAGAACGAAAGUUAGGGGAUCGAAGACGAUCAGAUACCGUCGUAGUCUUAACCAUAAACUAUGCCGACUAGGGAUCGGAUGAUGUUAAUUUUUUAAUGACUCAUUCGGCGCCUUACGGGAAA